Molecule: ribosomal RNA, 254 nt
Filed under: uncultured bacterium
Lineage: Bacteria
Description: partial 16S ribosomal RNA
Rfam family: Bacterial small subunit ribosomal RNA
Source: RNAcentral
UACGUAGGGGGCGAGCGUUGUCCGAAGUUACUGGGCGUAAAGCGCGCGUAGGCGGCCAUUUAAGUUUGGGGUGAAAGGUUCAGCGCUCAACGCGAACAGUGCCUUGAAUACUGGGUGGCUUGAGUUCGGGAGAGGGCAGUGGAAUUCCUGGUGUAGCGGUGAAAUGCGUAGAUAUCAGGAGGAACACCGGUGGCGAAGGCGGCUGCCUGGCCUAGAACUGACGCUGAGGUGCGAAAGCGUGGGGAGCGAACGGG